This 492-nucleotide ribosomal RNA is filed under the name uncultured bacterium. RNAcentral's name for it is "partial 16S ribosomal RNA". It matches the Rfam family "Bacterial small subunit ribosomal RNA", at positions 29 to 507 of the family's 1533-position model. The record is from RNAcentral.
AGUGAACGCUGGCGGUAGGCCUAACACAUGCGAGUCGAACGGCAGCACAGUAAGAGCUUGCUCUUACGGGUGGCGAGUGGCGGACGGGUGAGGAAUACAUCGGAAUCUACUUUUUAGUGGGGGAUAACGUAGGGAAACUUACGCUAAUACCGCAUACGACCUACGGGUGAAAGCAGGGGAUCUUCGGACCUUGCGCGAUUGAAUGAGCCGAUGUCGGAUUAGCUAGUUGGCGGGGUAAAGGCCCACCAAGGCGACGAUCCGUAGCUGGUCUGAGAGGAUGAUCAGCCACACUGGAACUGAGACACGGUCCAGACUCCUACGGGAGGCAGCAGUGGGGAAUAUUGGACAAUGGGCGCAAGCCUGAUCCAGCCAUACCGCGUGGGUGAAGAAGGCCUUCGGGUUGUAAAGCCCUUUUGUUGGGAAAGAAAAGCAGCAGGUUAAUACCCCGCUGUUCUGACGGUACCCAAAGAAUAAGCACCGGCUAACUUCGUG